CUAUCUAUCUAUCUAUAUACAUAUAUUUAUAUGUGUGUGUGUGUGUGCAUGUAUACAUACUAUAUGAGUAAUGUGAUAUCUCACUUUUAAUGGAUAUGGUCACCCAACUUCAGGCCACGCCCACUUAAGCCUAUAUGGCCUCUCAGUUUGAAUCAUGGCCCGUAAUUAUAUUACCAUCUGCAUGUGGUCUUUAAGUUGUUACUAUUUUGUACAUUGCUACACUAUGUACAGAGGUUGUGUACAUUAUGUACUACAACGCACAUGUUUUAUGAAUCUGUUCAUUUUCAAGGUUAUCCUCGCAAAUGGGUUAUAUCAAAACCAUCCUCAGAAUGUUAUGGUCUCCAUCGAACACUGUCAAAGAGGCGAAAUGUUACAAUUAAACCCUUUCCACCCAUUUAUUUCUUGUAUUUUUUCAGUAUUCUCUCUUUCUCACUCUCUCAAUCUAUAUACAUAUCUAUUUGUCUAUCUCUUGAUGAAAAGAAGAGAAGUAGAUUUCUGAGAGGGAAUGAGUCUGAAAUAAAGAAGUUCCGAGAGAGAGAGAGAUACAGAGAGACCGGGAUAGAAAGAGAGAGAGACAUUCAACUCUGCAGAUAAACUACAUACACAAAUGUUAGAAGGGUACCAUUUGUAUGAUUGACCAGUAGGUGAGAAAUCUAUGCAUGAUUGAUUUUGCGUUGGGUAAAUCAAGCGCCUCAAAACCAUGACAGAAGUUGUGUCAAGUACAUCAGGUAAUCAAGAACAUCCUCUAAGGAGAUGGAAAACGUAUCUGUGUCUACUGAAGCUGAUCAUGUGUACCAGAUGGGAUGGGUCCUUCGAAUUCGAAGGAAGCCUUCAGGGAUGAGCGACCGUCAGUUGGAAUUCUUUACUACUCUCUAUGACGAAGGGGAAAGGACCGGUCAGAAAGCAAAUCCUGCGAAAGUUGCUCAAACCAUGAGAAACUUGCAAAAUCAAGAUGGUACAAGAAAGUUCACCCCCAGAACAGCUCACAAAGAAUCAGAUCAGUUUUUUUCAACCGCCUCACAGCAAGGAAAAGAAAGACAGGUCAAGUGACACCUCAUCCCAAGAAAGCCAGCACAACACCUAGAGAGAAGCAGGUUCAGCAGGCAUUAGGAGAUGAAGAGUUUAUCGAGGAAGAUGAAGAAAUGGACCUAGCAGCUGAUACAGAGGUAGCUGAGUACUUCCAAGAGAUAAGAGAUGAAAUAGAGGAAAUAACUCAUUCUCUCUCAAGCGGCUAAUGAACCAACUAACGAGGCAAUUAAAAAAAAUCUUUCGAUUUCUCCUAAGAUUGAUGACAAGGAGACGGAUAAUGUGAUAUAAAGGAGCUCAUGACAUUCAGAGGAUGAUUUUAAUUUUAUAACCCAUUUGGAAGUAUAACAUCCAAGGUGCAUUUCUACUAACAGAUUAAUAGAAUACAUGCUUAUUAUGUAAUACUAACUUGCAGACAUGUCCCGCAACAAUUUGCUGUAUACUUGUUUGGAGAGAUACCAAUUUCGUUUCAAGACGUAAGUUGACUAAUCGAGUCCAUCGUGAUAGGAAUGAGGAGCUGUAAUUUAUAAUUGAACAUAUGGCAUGGAUAUAGAAGGCUUGGAGGAUGUGGAAGUCAGCUCCUACCUUAAAGUUUGUCUCUGGAGGACAUCGAUUCUGGUCUGUUUUCUCAAAUAAAUGUUUGAAUUGA
Non-coding RNA from Penaeus vannamei (Pacific white shrimp), 1675 nucleotides. The record is from RefSeq and is a predicted model, not a curated record. Lineage: Eukaryota; Metazoa; Arthropoda; Malacostraca; Decapoda; Penaeidae.